This 492-nucleotide ribosomal RNA is filed under the name uncultured bacterium. RNAcentral's name for it is "partial 16S ribosomal RNA". It matches the Rfam family "Bacterial small subunit ribosomal RNA", at positions 29 to 507 of the family's 1533-position model. The record is from RNAcentral.
AGUGAACGCUGGCGGUAGGCCUAACACAUGCAAGUCGAACGGCAGCACAGUAAGAGCUUGCUCUUACGGGUGGCGAGUGGCGGACGGGUGAGGAAUACAUCGGAAUCUACUUUUUCGUGGGGGAUAACGUAGGGAAACUUACGCUAAUACCGCAUACGACCUACGGGUGAAAGAAGGGGAUCUUCGGACCUUGCGCGAUUGAAUGAGCCGAUGUCGGAUUAGUUAGUUGGCGGGGUAAAGGCCCACCAAGGCGACGAUCCGUAGCUGGUCUGAGAGGAUGAUCAGCCACACUGGAACUGCGACACGGUCCAGACUCCUACGGGAGGCAGCAGUGGGGAAUAUUGGACAAUGGGCGCAAGCCUGAUCCAGCCAUACCGCGUGGGUGAAGAAGGCCUUCGGGUUGUAAAGCCCUUUUGUUGGGAAAGAAAAGCAGCAGGUUAAUACCCCGCUGUUCUGACGGUACCCAAAGAGUAAGCACCGGCUAACUUCGUG